This 440-nucleotide ribosomal RNA is filed under the name uncultured bacterium. RNAcentral's name for it is "partial 16S ribosomal RNA". It matches the Rfam family "Bacterial small subunit ribosomal RNA", at positions 338 to 795 of the family's 1533-position model. The record is from RNAcentral.
CCUACGGGAGGCUGCAGUGGGGAAUAUUGCACAAUGGGGGAAACUCUGAUGCAGCGACGCCGCGUGAGCGAUGAAGUAUUUCGGUAUGUAAAGCUCUAUCAGCAGGGAAGAAAAUGACGGUACCUGACUAAGAAGCCCCGGCUAACUACGUGCCAGCAGCCGCGGUAAUACGUAGGGGGCAAGCGUUAUCCGGAUUUACUGGGUGUAAAGGGAGCGUAGACGGGUGGGCAAGCCAGAUGUGAAAGCCCGCGGCUCAACCCCGGGACUGCAUUUGGAACUGUGUGGCUGGAGUGUCGGAGAGGCAGGCGGAAUUCCUAGUGUAGCGGUGAAAUGCGUAGAUAUUAGGAGGAACACCAGUGGCGAAGGCGGCCUGCUGGACGAUGACUGACGUUGAGGCUCGAAAGCGUGGGGAGCAAACAGGAUUAGAUACCCUUGUAGUC